UCAGAACGAACGCUGGCGGCAGGCCUAACACAUGCAAGUCGAGCGCCCGCCAAGGGAGCGGCAGACGGGUGAGUAACGCGUGGGAAACUACCCUUUGGUACGGAACAACUCGGCGAAAGCUGAGCUAAUACCGUAUGUGUCCUUCGGGAGAAAGAUUUAUCGCCAAAGGAUGUGCCCGCGUCGGAUUAGCUAGUUGGUGGGGUAACGGCCCACCAAGGCGACGAUCCGUAGCUGGUCUGAGAGGAUGAUCAGCCACACUGGGACUGAGACACGGCCCAGACUCCUACGGGAGGCAGCAGUGGGAAUAUUGGACAAUGGGGCAACCCUGAUCCAGCCAUGCCGCGUGAGUGAUGAAGGCCUUAGGGUUGUAAAGCUCUUUCGCCCGCGAAGAUAAUGACUGUAGCGGGAGAAGAAGCCCCGGCUAACUUCGUG
This 432-nucleotide ribosomal RNA is filed under the name uncultured bacterium. RNAcentral describes it as "bacterial SSU rRNA". It matches the Rfam family "Bacterial small subunit ribosomal RNA", at positions 24 to 507 of the family's 1533-position model. The record is from RNAcentral.